Molecule: long non-coding RNA, 1369 nt
Filed under: Oryctolagus cuniculus (rabbit)
Lineage: Eukaryota; Metazoa; Chordata; Mammalia; Lagomorpha; Leporidae
Description: lncRNA (ENSOCUG00000033643.1)
Source: RNAcentral
AUGGGUGGCCUCCUGGAUAGCCUCACCUGGGCUGGUGGGGAAGAAAGCACACUCUGGAACCAAUGUUCCUGGAGCCUGACUCUGCUGUCUAUUCAUACCUUACCUGUUCCUGUCCCACAGAUGAUGUCAGCGAGGAAGGCCCUGUGGGUUCCUGUGCCCCUGGAGAAAGAGCUGUGCUCAAGGUCUCAGCAGCCCAUGAGCUGCUUGUGCCAACCCCAUUGGCAGUCCCUGACUUGCCAAGGGAAAAGUGUGGACUGGCCACGCACCCUUUCAUCAGGGGUACCUCGUGAGUGGAUGGACUGUGUCAUUCGGCCUGUGUGGGUCAGCAGGAGUUCUGGACAAGUCACCUUAUGCAAGUGUGAGGUGUGAACCCACAGAGAUUUAGGAAGGCAGACUCUGGCCAUGUUCCUGACUGAGCUGUGCCCAUCUUGGACUCUGAGGUCCUUACUUGAAACCCGGGCCUGGAGAGGGGGUAAAGCAAGGAAUAUCAGUGAUUUCUGUGGGAGGAUUCACAUGGGGUCAGUCCCCCCAUUUGCCACUGGUUGGCUACGGCCACCCUGGAUUGCCUUGCUGUAUAGCCAGAAUUGGGUGGACACUGUGGAUCAGGCCUCUGUGCAAGGCAUGAUUUUAGUUUAAGUAGAAGGCCUGGGUUCAAGUUACCAUGGCAGGGAGGAAGGUUUGGCAGGCUGCCACUUUGCUGUUGCCUGGCAAGUGGGAUUUUCACAUGGUUCCCAUGUCAGAGAGAACCUAAGACCCAGAGACACUUUGGGCAAUGCAUGUCCAGGGUUUGCCAACAUGUGGGGCAGGGCACUUUCAGGGUGAUGCCAGGCACACAACAUCCCACUACUUUUCUCAUCCAUGGACUGGUGUUCGCAGACCACAUAGGUGGACUUCAGACUGAGUUGAGCUCAGCAAGGAUGCCAUGGACCCUCCUGAUCUAGGGCUCCUACUCCUCCACAGGAGACAGCAAGAAGUGAUCCAGUCCGAUGCCUGUAAUACAUCUUUCAGUUGUGUAUGUGACACUUUUGGCAGCGACUAUUGGAGGAAGUUGUCUCCAUGGGGGAUGGCCUGGACUCAGAAUGCACUGUGUUCAUGCAGCCUGCACCUUAGCAUAAGGGCAUGUCUAGUGAUGCCAUGUUCGUAGUUCCAGGGCUCCGUGAGGGUGCUUCUUGAAUAUGUCUGUUUGGAAUUGUCCUCUCAUACUUAGGUUUAGUCAUUGCCUGCCUGUACAAUCCGGUUCCUUAUCAGGACCUGGGUAUCAGAGGCAAGAAGGAGCUGGAAGUAGGCGCUUCCAGCAGAACGAUUCUAUCCAAGUGGAUUUCUCUGUCCCAGUGACCACAAUGCCCAGUAGUUUUGCAGGCCAGGUGGG